Amphimedon queenslandica is the source of this 278-nucleotide long non-coding RNA. RefSeq lists it as uncharacterized. Lineage: Eukaryota; Metazoa; Porifera; Demospongiae; Haplosclerida; Niphatidae. The record is from RefSeq and is a predicted model, not a curated record. The transcript is spliced from 3 exons.
CCUAGUUAUCCUUUAUUUAGGAAAGAGUCCAAAAAUACAUGCAUCAGGCAAACACCAUCAAUGAAAGACUAAAAGGAGAAGUACCAAGAGUGGAUAAAGGAGCUGCCAAAAGAUUUGUAAAAAAUGCUCUUUGGGAUGAAGAAAGUAGUAGUAGUAAAUCUAGAAAGAGAAAGCAAACUGAAGAUAAAAAUCAAUAAUUGUGAGGAUGUUGCAUGUUUUUAUAAAAGCAACUAAUUCAACUUUAUUUGACUUCCUAAAAUAAUAGAUCUAUACAUUUU